GCGCGCCGCGCACCCCGGCGCGCACCCCGGUGCUCGUACACUCCGCACACGUCGCGCGCGCUCCAGCACGUUUGCG
This 76-nucleotide transfer RNA is filed under the name Streptomyces sp. PVA_94-07. Lineage: Bacteria; Bacillati; Actinomycetota; Actinomycetes; Kitasatosporales; Streptomycetaceae. The record is from RNAcentral.